RNAcentral lists this long non-coding RNA (1736 nucleotides) under Zea mays. Its description in RNAcentral is "long non-coding RNA (ZMAY_LNC000643)". The record is from RNAcentral. Lineage: Eukaryota; Viridiplantae; Streptophyta; Magnoliopsida; Poales; Poaceae.
UUCCGUCACAAUUUAGGGUCUAGGUUUCCAUAAAAUCGUGUGCUAUAGCUCACGGGUGGCAAAAAAAUGCCAUAACGGCCUCCCCGGUCUAAAACGAAGGUGGCAGGUCGGAUACAUAAAAUUGGCUGUUUGGCCACGGAAAUGUGUGAUAUAGCUCGCGGGAGGCCAAGAACCGCUUUAAGGUGCUCCGGGGAGAAAAACACGUGUGGAGGAACACGGGCAUAAAAAUGGUCGCUCGGCCAUGAAAACGUGUGCUAUAGCUCACGGGAGGCCAAAACAACCUUACCAGUCUCUAUGGUCAAAUAAUGGGUGGCGGUCGGGAGGCACGAAAUCGCUGUUCGACGACAAAAACAUGUGUCACGGGAGGCCAAAAUAGCCUUACGGGCCGCCGGGGACUAAAACGUGUACUAUGGUUCGGACACUAAAAUUCUACCAUGCCUGCAAGCUUACUAUGGUUUGGAGACUCAAACUUCAUUUUACUAUGGUUUGGACACUAAAACCUUUUAGUGUCGGUGUUUAAGGUUAGGGUUUAGGGAUUGGAUCUUGGGUCUAGGUUACCAUAAAAACAUGUGCUAUAGCUCACUUGUGGCAAAAAAAUGUCGUAACGGCCUCUCCGAUCUAAAAUGUAGGUGGCAGAUCGGAUGAGGCCAUAAUCAGCCUUAGCAGUCUCAGUGGCCAAAUCAUGGGUGGCGGACGGGAGGCAUGAAAUCGUCGUUUGACGAUGAAAACAUGUGUCACUGCACGGGAGGCCAAAAAUAGCCUUACCGGCCUCCGGGGACCAAAACGUGUACUAUGGUUUGGACACUAAAAUUCUACUAUGUCAGCAAAGUUGAUAAGGUUGGGAGACUCAAUUUCAUUUUACCAUGGUUUCAACACUAAAAUCCUUUAGUGUUGAUGUUUAGGUUUAGGGAUAGGAUUUAGGGUCUAGGUUUCCAUAAAAUCGUGUGCUAUAGCUCAUGGGUGGCAAAAAAAUGCCAUAACGGCCUCCCCGGUCUAAAACGAAGGUGGCAGGUCGGAUACAUAAAAUUGGCUGUUUGGCCACGGAAAUGUGUGAUAUAGCUCGCGGGAGGCCAAGAACCGCUUUAAGGUGCUCCGGGGAGAAAAACACGUGUGGAGGAACACGAGCAUAAAAAUGGUCGCUCGGCCAUGAAAACGUGUGCUAUAGCUCACGGGAGGCCAAAACAACCUUACCAGUCUCUAUGGUCAAAUAAUGGGUGGCGGUCGGGAGGCACGAAAUCGCUGUUCGACGACAAAGACAUGUGUCACGGGAGGCCAAAAUAGCCUUACGGGCCGCCGGGGACUAAAACGUGUACUAUGGUUCGGACACUAAAAUUCUACCAUGCCUGCAAGCUUACUAUGGUUUGGAGACUCAAACUUCAUUUUACUAUGGUUUGGACACUAAAACCUUUUAGUGUCGGUGUUUAAGGUUAGGGUUUAGGGAUUGGAUCUUGGGUCUAGGUUACCAUAAAAACAUGUGCUAUAGCUCACUUGUGGCAAAAAAUGUCGUAACGACCUCUCCGAUCUAAAAUGUAGGUGGCAGGUCGGAUGAGGCCAUAAUCAGCCUUAGCAGUCUCAGUGGCCAAAUCAUGGGUGGCGGACGGGAGGCAUGAAAUCGUCGUUUGACGAUGAAAACAUGUGUCACGGGAGGCCAAAAAUAGCCUUACCGGCCUCCGGGGACCAAAACGUGUACUAUGGUUUGGACACUAAAAUUCUACUAUGUCAGCAAAGUUGAUAAG